CCGGAAGCCGCCGCGCAGUGAGCCGUCGCCGCCGCCGCGGAGCUCGCUGCUGCUACGGCCGCUCCAUGCCGGAGGUCGACCCAUGGAGCCCCGCAGAAAACAACCCGAGCCUGUCAAACAUGGAGCACUGAGGUUUCAUUUCAAGUCAUAAAUGGUGCAUUGCUGCUGCUCUCGCUGGUCGACCUGAACACCACAUACUUGGGCCUGCGCACCGCGGAGCAGCACCUCCACCUGUCCUUCGUCAACGUCUCCGGCCCCGACGCCGUCCACCCUGUCGCCGAGGAGGCCUCCGUCUCUCAGGACCACCGCGGUGGGACCGCCGGCCCGGUGCACAUCGGGUUUUAUUUCAGCUUUUGAUGAAUUGUGCAAAAAAAAACAAGCUGUUAGAUUGAUAAAUUAUUGGCUCUCGGUGGAUUAAAUGUGAAUAAAAUUGUUGUGAAAUGUU
Long non-coding RNA from Cyclopterus lumpus (lumpfish), 445 nucleotides. RefSeq lists it as uncharacterized. Lineage: Eukaryota; Metazoa; Chordata; Actinopteri; Perciformes; Cyclopteridae. The record is from RefSeq and is a predicted model, not a curated record. The transcript is spliced from 2 exons.